Molecule: long non-coding RNA, 377 nt
Filed under: Fukomys damarensis (Damara mole-rat)
Lineage: Eukaryota; Metazoa; Chordata; Mammalia; Rodentia; Bathyergidae
Description: lncRNA (ENSFDAG00000033564.1)
Source: RNAcentral
GUGGGGCCUGGAUUGCCACCAACAUUAUGUAGCGGAGCCUGGGCUGGGUGGGACAGGGGAUGGCCCUGGGUUCCCUGGGACUCAGGUCUCCUCUCCACACACUCACAUUCCUCAUUGUCUUCCUGUGCCCAUGGCUGUCCAACAUGUGUACCCUCCAGAGACAUCUCACUGGAAGUGGAGGUUUCAGAGUAAAGAAGAACAGAGGUGGGGUCCAACUCAGCAGACUGUGGACACCGUGUCCAGAGAGCACAGAGGGCCCUGAGCCACCAUGUGGACAUAGAAGGCAGCAGGCCCUUGAAGAUGUGGUUUCAUCUAGACAGUACAACCAGUGGCCUCCAUUAUGCUCUGGGGGAGAUGCUCAAGGAGGGAGGAUUUGA